AGAAUCAACGCUGGCGGCGUGCCUAACACAUGCAAGUCGAACGCGAAAGGGGAGCAAUCCCUGAGUAGAGUGGCAAACGGGUGAGUAACACGUGGGUGACCUGCCUUCGAGUGGGGGAUAACGUCCCGAAAGGGACGCUAAUACCGCAUGACAUCCUGCUUUUGGAAAAGCGGAGAUCAAAGCCGGGGAUUCGCAAGAACCUGGCGCUUGAAGAGGGGCCCGCGCCUGAUUAGCUAGUUGGUGAGGUAACGGCUCACCAAGGCUACGAUCAGUA
This 274-nucleotide ribosomal RNA is filed under the name uncultured soil bacterium. RNAcentral's name for it is "partial 16S ribosomal RNA". It matches the Rfam family "Bacterial small subunit ribosomal RNA", at positions 26 to 285 of the family's 1533-position model. The record is from RNAcentral.